GGCCUAACACAUGCAAGUCGAACGGCAGCACGGGGGCAACCCUGGUGGCGAGUGGCGAACGGGUGAGUAAUACAUCGGAACGUGUCCUGUAGUGGGGGAUAGCCCGGCGAAAGCCGGAUUAAUACCGCAUACGCUCUACGGAGGAAAGGGGGGGAUCUUAGGACCUCUCGCUACAGGGGCGGCCGAUGGCAGAUUAGCUAGUUGGUGGGGUAAAGGCCUACCAAGGCGACGAUCUGUAGCUGGUCUGAGAGGACGACCAGCCACACUGGGACUGAGACACGGCCCAGACUCCUACGGGAGGCAGCAGUGGGGAAUUUUGGACAAUGGGCGCAAGCCUGAUCCAGCAAUGCCGCGUGUGUGAAGAAGGCCUUCGGGUUGUAAAGCACUUUUGUCCGGAAAGAAAACGCUCUGGUUAAUACCCGGGGCGGAUGACGGUACCGGAAGAAUAAGCACCGGCUAACUACGUGCCAGCAGCCGCGGUAAUACGUAGGGUGCAAGCGUUAAUCGGAAUUACUGGGCGUAAAGCGUGCGCAGGCGGUCCGCUAAGACAGAUGUGAAAUCCCCGGGCUUAACCUGGGAACUGCAUUUGUGACUGGCGGGCUAGAGUAUGGCAGAGGGGGGUAGAAUUCCACGUGUAGCAGUGAAAUGCGUAGAGAUGUGGAGGAAUACCGAUGGCGAAGGCAGCCCCCUGGGCCAAUACUGACGCUCAUGCACGAAAGCGUGGGGAGCAAACAGGAUUAGAUACCCUGGUAGUUCACGCCCUAAACGAUGUCAACUAGUUGUCGGGUCUUCAUUGACUUGGUAACGAAGCUAACGCGUGAAGUUGACCGCCUGGGGAGUAC
RNAcentral lists this ribosomal RNA (842 nucleotides) under uncultured Burkholderia sp. RNAcentral's name for it is "bacterial SSU rRNA". It matches the Rfam family "Bacterial small subunit ribosomal RNA", at positions 45 to 883 of the family's 1533-position model. Lineage: Bacteria; Pseudomonadati; Pseudomonadota; Betaproteobacteria; Burkholderiales; Burkholderiaceae. The record is from RNAcentral.